RNAcentral lists this ribosomal RNA (1497 nucleotides) under uncultured bacterium. Its description in RNAcentral is "bacterial SSU rRNA". It matches the Rfam family "Bacterial small subunit ribosomal RNA". The record is from RNAcentral.
GAGUUUGAUCCUGGCUCAGAUUGAACGCUGGCGGCAUGCCUUACACAUGCAAGUCGAACGGCAGCAUGAUCUAGCUUGCUAGAUUGAUGGCGAGUGGCGAACGGGUGAGUAAUACAUCGGAACGUGCCCUGUAGUGGGGGAUAACUAGUCGAAAGAUUAGCUAAUACCGCAUACGACCUGAGGGUGAAAGUGGGGGACCGCAAGGCCUCAUGCUAUAGGAGCGGCCGAUGUCUGAUUAGCUAGUUGGUGGGGUAAAGGCCCACCAAGGCGACGAUCAGUAGCUGGUCUGAGAGGACGAUCAGCCACACUGGGACUGAGACACCGGCCCAGACUCCUACGGGAGGCAGCAGUGGGGAAUUUUGGACAAUGGGGGCAACCCUGAUCCACAAUGCCCCGUGUGUGAAGAAAGCCUUCCGGUUGUAAAGCUCUUUUGUUCGGAAAGAACGAGUAUGGUUCGAAUCGGGCCCUACCUUGCCGUCCUAACGAGAAACGACCGGCUAACUACGUGCCAGCAGCCGCGGUAAUACGUAGGGUCCAAGCGUUAAUCGGAAUUACUGGGCGUAAAGCGUGCGCAGGCGGUUGUGCAAGACCGAUGUGAAAUCCCCGAGCUUAACUUGGGAAUUGCAUUGGUGACUGCACGGCUAGAGUGUGUCAGAGGGGGGUAGAAUUCCACGUGUAGCAGUGAAAUGCGUAGAGAUGUGGAGGAAUACCGAUGGCGAAGGCAGCCCCCUGGGAUAACACUGACGCUCAUGCACGAAAGCGUGGGGAGCAAACAGGAUUAGAUACCCUGGUAGUCCACGCCCUAAACGAUGUCAACUAGUUGUUGGGGAUUCAUUUCCUUAGUAACGUAGCUAACGCGUGAAGUUGACCGCCUGGGGAGUACGGUCGCAAGAUUAAAACUCAAAGGAAUUGACGGGGACCCGCACAAGCGGUGGAUGAUGUGGAUUAAUUCGAUGCAACGCGAAAAACCUUACCUACCCUUGACAUGCCACUAACGAAGCAGAGAUGCAUUAGGUGCUCGAAAGAGAAAGUGGACACAGGUGCUGCAUGGCUGUCGUCAGCUCGUGUCGUGAGAUGUUGGGUUAAGUCCCGCAACGAGCGCAACCCUUGUCUCUAGUUGCUACGAAAGGGCACUCUAGAGAGACUGCCGGUGACAAACCGGAGGAAGGUGGGGAUGACGUCAAGUCCUCAUGGCCCUUAUGGGUAGGGCUUCACACGUCAUACAAUGGUGCAUACAGAGGGUUGCCAAGCCGCGAGGUGGAGCUAAUCCCAGAAAAUGCAUCGUAGUCCGGAUCGUAGUCUGCAACUCGACUACGUGAAGCUGGAAUCGCUAGUAAUCGCGGAUCAGCAUGCCGCGGUGAAUACGUUCCCGGGUCUUGUACACACCGCCCGUCACACCAUGGGAGUGGGCUUUACCAGAAGUAGUUAGCCUAACCGCAAGGAGGGCGAUUACCACGGUAGGGUUCAUGACUGGGGUGAAGUCGUAACAAGGUAACC